Molecule: long non-coding RNA, 1990 nt
Organism: Gadus morhua (Atlantic cod)
Lineage: Eukaryota; Metazoa; Chordata; Actinopteri; Gadiformes; Gadidae
Source: Ensembl
AUGAAGGAGAAAAGGAGUGAGAAGGAGGCAAAAAAGAGCGGGUCAGCGGCAGGUACAUCAAAGAAGUGGAAGUUCUUUGUGGUCCUGUCCUUCCUCGACCCAUUCGUCACCCCGAGGGAGACCACUAGCAACCUUCCUCGGGUGGCAGAGGAUGAGAUCGAGGAUGACGGGGCUGCAGAGACUUCGCUGUCUGGGGCAGGAGAGGCAUAUGAGGAGUGCGAUGAGGCAGCAGGGCUAUCGCACAAUGCAGAUCAGCCGUCAGUGAGUGACUCUGACACUGACGAUGCCUCUGCUGCCCCUGUCCCUGCCGCUGACCCUGCCGCUGACCCAAGACCACCGGGCGGGACGAAGAGGAAGAAUGCCAGGAGGGUACCGUGCGGGAGCACCCCAAUACAAGAGGCCAUCCUCCAGGCCCUGCAUAUGGAGGCUGCCCAGACCCCCCCACCACCCCCCCCACCCCAGCUCUCGGAGGACGCAUUCUUCCUCCAGAGCAUACUUCCUUCCCUGGAGAGAUUGCCACGCCAAGCUUGUGCUGAGUUGAAAUUUGAAAUUCACAAGCUCGUAGUUGAAGCCACAAGACGCACUAAUUUGGAACCCAUAUAAUUAUUAAAUAUGCUCAUGCUUAUUUGCAACAGUGGUGGUGACAAUCUCUCCAGGGAACGAAUUGGGCUGCUGUGACUAAAAAAUAAGCUGUUUGUGAGAAAGGUAGUUAGUGAGGUAAAUCCUUUCUCACAAACAGCUUAUUUUUUAGGAAGAUGUUAAUGUUCUUGUUCUUGUGUUCUGUUUUAAAUUUAUAAUAUAUUGUUCUAUGUUGUUUUGUUAGUCGUUUUGUACAUAAAAUAUUUUUAAUAACUCUUCUGAGUGAUUUUAAGAUCUAGCAUGCACGGACACAAAUACACAUACAUUUUGCUACUUCAUAUAACAAUUUUAAUAACAACUUAAUAAUAAUGAAGGAAUUGCCGCUUUGUUUUGUGUGGGUGGCUCUUAAAAGAGCCGUUUUGGGGUUGCUUGUGCACUGCACUAAAUGUCGUCCUGCCACGAGACGGUUCCUUCUUCAGAGAAGUAGGAGGUGAAGGUCUCGCGGAUCCGAAUGGCCUCUCUCCCGGCGUUGUUGGCAGCCACUCUCCCCAGCCUUGGCAGAGGCUCCACCGCACCACCCGGGAUGCACUCCCUCACUGCUGCUGUUGGUGCUGUUCUGCGGAGGAAAUUGUGGAGCACACAGGUGGCCUUGAUGCAUCUCUCUGCCAGCUCAGGACGGACCUCGAUGACCCUCCGGUAGAUCCGCCACUGAGAGGAGAGGAUACCAAAUGCGUCCUCCACCACCAACCGAGCCCGGGACAGACGGUAGUUAAAGACGCGCCGCUCUGGUGGGAGGACGCGUCCGGGGAAUGGCCUCAUGAGGUUGGUCCGUAGCGGAAAGGCCUCGUCCGCUACAAACACAUGAGGCAGGGGUCCUCUGUGCUCAGCCCCCGGCAGUGCUCUGUCAGCAGGGAGCUGGAGAUCGCCAGCGUGGAGGGCCUGACCAAACGCAGAGUUGGCCAGAAUUCCUCCAUCACUGGUUCUCCCGUAGCCCCCCACAUCGAUGACCCGGAAGCAGUAGUCUGCGUCGACAACUGCCAAGAGAACGAUGGAAAACGUUCCCUUGUAGUUGAAGAACUGCGAACCGGAGUUCGCAGGGGCCUUCAGAACUACAUGCUUCCCAUCGAUGGCACCACAGCAGAGAGGGAAGUUCCACCGCUCCUCGAACCGCUCUGCAACCACUCUCCACUCCUCUGCAGUGGGCACAGCCAUGAACUCCUCCACCAGGCAGUCCCAAAUAGCCGUGACCACAUCCGAGACGAUGGAAGCCACGGUGGAGGACCCGACCCGGAAGCUGUUGGCGAUCGUCCGGAACGAAUCACCACUAGCCAGGAAUCUGCAACACAUGAAUUAUUUAUUUUAGCCUUAUUGAUAAUUUCAGUUGUAUAGCAAAUCUGUAGGCCAAUUAUCU